This 468-nucleotide ribosomal RNA is filed under the name uncultured bacterium. RNAcentral describes it as "partial 16S ribosomal RNA". It matches the Rfam family "Bacterial small subunit ribosomal RNA", at positions 28 to 507 of the family's 1533-position model. The record is from RNAcentral.
GACGAACGCUGGCGGCGUGCUUAACACAUGCAAGUCGAACGGAAAGGCCCUGCUUUUGUGGGGUGCUCGAGUGGCGAACGGGUGAGUAACACGUGAGUAACCUGCCCUUGACUUUGGGAUAACUUCAGGAAACUGGGGCUAAUACCGGAUAGGAGCUCCUGCUGCAUGGUGGUGGUUGGAAAGUUUCGGCGGUUGGGGAUGGACUCGCGGCUUAUCAGCUUGUUGGUGGGGUAGUGGCUUACCAAGGCUUUGACGGGUAGCCGGCCUGAGAGGGUGACCGGCCACAUUGGGACUGAGAUACAGCCCAGACUCCUACGGGAGGCAGCAGUGGGGAAUAUUGCACAAUGGGAGGAAGCCUGAUGCAGCAACGCCGCGUGCGGGAUGACGGCCUUCGGGUUGUAAACCGCUUUCGCCUGUGACGAAGCGUGAGUGACGGUAAUGGGUAAAGAAGCACCGGCUAACUACGUG